This 32364-nucleotide long non-coding RNA is filed under the name Lynx pardinus (Iberian lynx). Lineage: Eukaryota; Metazoa; Chordata; Mammalia; Carnivora; Felidae. The record is from RNAcentral.
CUGCUGGGACGACGCUCAGAUUCCAGAGUGGAGGCAGGGCCUGGAAGUUGGCAUUUUUCAGACUGCCUCAGUGAUUGUUCUACAGACUGGCUUUGAGGACCCCUGCCCUCGGCUGCCUUAACAAUGAGGAUCCAGGGACAGGUGGUGAGUUAAUAAUAUUAGCCGCUUUAUCCCAGGUCGCAUGGUCCUUUUUAACAGAAGCUCUGACCUUGACUCUAAGGAGGGAGUGCUGGUUUGUCAUGGCCCAGGCCAGGCAGAGAGCCCUCUUUUGGUCAAAGGGGUCUUGAGCCCCCAUGAGGCUCACUGUGAAUUUAUUUCUGGGCCUGAGCCAGUGCUGAGGGAGAAGGGUCAGGUGGGUUGGUUCCAGAGCCCCAAGUUUCCUAGGGUAGGAAGUGGGUUGGGACUCCCCGGAUUGCUGACCCCGUGUCGUGCCAGCCACUCUCUCCCUCUCUUCUGAGUGGGGUCUGCUCACCAACAGAUCCCUUUUCUUCUACAAGCCCUUAUUUUGCACCCUUGUUCGGUCUCUGCCACGUGUGACAAAGGGAUGGCCAAAGCCUGGGGGGCUGGUGGGGGGACCCGCCCUUGGGUGCUCAGUGCCAGGGCACAUCCUAUUUGUCUUACCUUCUCUGUACCCGGUCAGGGCUUGGCAGGCACUGUGUGCUAGAAAAAAAAAUGUAUAUAAAUAAUAUAUAUUAUUUUAUAAUAUAUAUAAAUUAUAUAUAUAUUCUAUAUACAUAUAUGUAAAUAUACACGUAGUAUAUAUGUGUAUAUAUAAAACUUCAGGCCCCCUCAAGUCCAGGGGUUUGUGUCUGAAGGGCCAAAUAGUGCAACCUUUUAUUCCAAUCCAGCGAAUGAACCCCUUCCGCUGUGCAGUAAUAAUAAUAAUAAUAAUAAUAGUGAGUUAUCCACUCAACAUCCUCUCCCCUCUCCGCUCCCUCCUCGGGUUCCCGUUAGAAUCCUCAAGGAAGAACCUAAGAUCCAGACAAGGAGCAAGUGUCCUCCUCAUGGCUAGUUGUCCCAGCAGAGCGGCCUCUGCCUGCUCAACUCUUUUCACCUCAUCUUUCCACGGAACGUGCCGCGCACGUCCCUCCAACGAGCCUGGCAGAAGCCGCUCACUCGUGCGGUGCCCCACAGUGCUCUCCCUGGGCCCCUCUCCUCCUGGGCGCGGUCCCGAGGACAGAGAGCCGGGCUGACGCUGUGGUGUCUUGUCUAGUGACACCGGGCAGCCUGCGACCUGGGCUGGGCAGCGGGCGGGCCCGCCCCACCCGCCCAGCCAGCUGGCUGGCUGCCUGAGGGCUGGCCAGCAGUGAGGACCCAAGUAAUGAGUGAUUAAUGGGCGCCCCAUCUAAUCUCCUGCCAGGGGAAAUGAAGGGCCAGCCGUGGGCUGGGGCUCGUCGUGACCUGCUCCAGGUGGGCUUGGAAUGCACCCAGCUCAGGAUGGGGAUUAAGGCUUGAAAGACAGAGGAAAUGAGAUGUUAACCCUUUAGGCCAUGGCCCUCUGAGCCCCAGCGGGGAAAUCGCUAGGGAAUUAUCUGCAGGCACCUGAUGAAAGGGGAGCACGGCCUUUGAUUUAUGGCGGGGAUGCAGCCGCAAGACUACCAGGGGGGUGGGGGGCGGGGUGACAAGCCACGCCUUUGACUUAACCAUUUUUCUUGGAGGCUCAGUCAAGAGAGAUUACUUUCUUGCGAACAUGGAUACGUGGACAGCCGGGAGGCCGCUCUACCUGAUUCCUUCUUGGAAACCUUCCGAUCGUAUCAGCGAGUUACAAAUUGGUAGUUGCCAGACAGACCUUUCUUCCUGAAACGCAGUGCCUCGGGUCACAUGUCAUUUCAGGGCAGAGAGGAGGGGGUGUGGCCCCGGCUGGACCACAGCUCUAGUGGUAGGAUCCACCUUUUCCUGGAUCGGGCAGGAGCACAGUGGUGCUGAGGGUGGGCGCCCCCUGGAGCCGGCUCCCUGGGUUCAGGCGUUGGCGCCACUAAGCUGUGGGUUCCUGGACAGCUUCCUUUUGUGCUGUGGUUCUCCCGUCUGCGAAAUGAGGGUGAGAAUAAUACAGACCCUGGGUGAGAGUCACGAGAGUGUGAGGUGCUUACAGCAGCCUUAGACCUGUAGAAGUGCCAUCGUUUUUUUCUCACUUCUCUGGCUAAACCCCGGAGACCAGACCUUCUCCGGGAAGGGCGUAAGCAGCUACUCUGCAGGGUCUCUGAGAAUGGGUGAAUUGCUUUGGCUGAAUUGAUGACGGACCCUCUGAUUGAUCUCGCUUGUUUGACCCUUGACCCUCACAUGCCUUGAAUUCUGAUCCUCCUUUCCCCUCCCUUUGCUGUUGGCCCUCUGGCCUCCAGCUGCCCUUUGGAUUACACUGCCCUGCCCCUUGCCCCCUGCCUCCAUGCUCGGUGGCCGGAUGUGGUGCAUCAGGGCGGUGAUGCCUGCCUGGUCCGGUCAUGGCACGGCCACUUCCGCACCAGUUCUGCCCACGGCCAGCCUUGCCGUGACCUGACGGCUGAGGACGAAGAGGGCAGCUGCCUUGCGAGCAAAAUUAGGAACAGCGGAGACAGUCUGAUCUGGAUGCCGGUCACAGCGCUGUCCCCUUUUCUGGUUGCUCUCAGCUCCCAUUGCCUCAUCCUUGAUCGAGGCUAAUAAUAGUAACACUUAUCUAAUGGUUGAGAGAAGGUCAAACCCGACCGUGGACAGGAGGCCCUUUGGACUGUGGUGGGGAGUUUACUGCUGGUUACAAGGCGGGCCUUAAGCCUGAUAACGGGGCGUGCCCUGACAUCUAGCCCCUCGAGCCCGUUUGUACCUUUGUGAGAACAGACAAGUGCCCAGGGCCUGCUUGACUUCGCUGAUGUUUUAGCGAAGGCCCAGGUUUCAUUCUGCUUGAAGUUCCAGGGAUCUUCCGGCCAGCUAAAGAGAAGGAGCUGCCAUUUACAGAGCUCUGUAUCAGGUCCUGGGAUUUGCCUGCGUUGAUUUAUUUCAUUCUCUCAACGAUUCGUGUGAGCUAGACAUUAUCAUUCCUAUUCUACAGCCUGGAAAACCAAGGCACAGAGAGGUUAAGGAAUUUGCACCUGCUCGCACAGCAAGUAGGUGUCAGAGUGAUGUUUGAAUUUCCAGUCAUCUGACUCCAAAGCGUCAUGGGAACUCAUGGGCUGGUUAGUGCCUCAGUCUAAUCGUAACCCACUGGAAAGUCUGAUGGUAACCACUUAAAAGUCUAACUGUAACCCACUUAAAACCUUUUAAAAGUUGAGAUGUCGUUCACAUACCAUAAAAUUCACCAUUUUAAAGUAUACAAUUCAGUGGUUUUAGUGUAUUCACGGAGUUGUGCAAUCAUCACCCAUUAUAUAAUUCCAGAAUAUUUUCAUCACCUGCAAAAACUCCAUAUCCUUUCGAAAUCACUCCCCGUCCUUCCUCCCCAGCAACCCCUGGAAACCUCUCAUCUACUUUCUGUCUCCAUGGAUCCUGGACAUUUCAGAUAAAUGGAAUCCUACAAUAUGUGGUCUCCCGUGAUUCGCUUCUUUCACUAAGAUUAAUGUUUUCAUCCAUCUUGAAGCACAGAUCGGUGCUUCGUUCCUUUUUAUCACCACGUAACCCACUUUGAAAAUAAAAUAGAGGGCUCUUCUGCUUAGAAAAGGGGUGGAGCUGCCGUCCCAAAACAGAUGCAGCGCAAAGAAAGGGGCCCUCAGUCUUUACUGUGGGCAGACGUGAGAGGAGUCUAAAAGUAGGGGCAGGUGGAGCGAGCGCUCCUGCCGGGUGUGGAGGUAGAGGCAGAAGCAGGUGCGGGCCUGGCUGGGUUCCUGCGUCCGGGAGUAGCAGGGGUGCCCAGCUGCGCUCCUCCAGACACCCUGGUGUUCGUGCCAGCGGCGAGGUCUGUCGGGAUCCGUCCUGCAGAGGUGGUGUGGGUGCAGUGGGCCGACCCCCCGAGAGACGGGCAGGGGGGUUUGGGAGCGCUCUUUGCCAUACAUAGUCUGUCCAGUGUGGGUGCCGCAUGGACAUUUUAGUGGCUGCACAGUCUGCUGCGUCCCUUCUAACUUCAGGGGGACUGUGGUGGCAGGUGCUGCAUACUGGUGACAGCACCGCGGAUUUGCUUAAGUUUCUAGAUACAAGGCUUUUUUUUUUUCUGAUUACAAAGGGGAGAUACAUUUAUUGUAGAAAAGUUAGGAAAUGUGGAAAAACACAGAAAAAAAUAAAAAUUAUCCAUAAUUCCCCAGCCAGUGAUGACCAUUAUUUUUAACGUGUGUCUUUGUAGUCUGUCUUUCUGCACACACACCAUGCACACACACACACACACACACACACCACACACACACACACACACACACACACACCACACACACACCACACACACACACACACACAGACACACACAGUUUUAUAGAAUUGGUAUCUUGCUGAACAUCUUGUUUUGUUUGCGACUUUUUUCACUUAACAAUAAACCACAAACAUUUCCCCUAGGUACUGAAUAUUCAAUAUUCUUGCAAAACAUGGUUAUCUUAAUGGUGGCAGAAUAUUUUUAAAAACAUUAAUGUUUGGGGGCGCCUGGGUGGUUCAGCUGGUUAAGCGUCUGACUCUUGAUUCCGGCUCAGGUCAUGAUUUCAAGGUUUGUGAGAUAGAGCCCCGUGUCGCGCUCUGGGCUAACAGCAAGGAGCCUGCUUGGGAUUCUCUCUCUCCCUCUCUCUCUCUGCCUCUCUCCCCGACGUGUACACUCAUGCUGUCUCUUUUUCUCAAAAUAAGUAAAUAAAUAUUAAAAAAUAAUAGAAAAAAUCCUUAUUAAAAAACAUUAAUGUUUGCUUAUUUGGGGACAUGUUGCUUUCAGUUUUUCAAUAUUAUUUAUAAAUAAAACUGCUCUUGUGCAUUUUUUUUGUACUUUUGUUAAGGCAUAGUGCUGUUUUGGGGACAAAAGAUAUAAAUACUCCAGAGGUAUUUGAUACAUAUGGUCUGAUUGGCCUCCCAGAAAGACUGUAUAAUUUAUAAUUCCACAAAUGUGUUAUCUUUUAACUUGACUUUUACUGUACAUGUAACUUUACCAAAACAUCCCUUCCCCCCUCCUCUUCCUCCCUCUCCUCUUCCCCUCCCUGCCUCACAUCUGCAUAGUAUACUAACUGUUUACAGCAUUCUGUUUUCUGCUUGAUAUUUGCACAUCUGCCUUUUUAACAGAGUAUGAUUUUGUGUAAACAUUCCUCUUGACCUUGUCAGGCUUCCCAUUUUUAGGCAUAAAUGACAGUUUCCAUCAUUUUAGUUAAUGGUCUGGGUUUGUUCCUUGUUUUUCCCUAAUCAAAAAAUUAGGAGCGCCUGGGUGGCUUAGUCGGAUUAAGCAGCAGAGUUUUGAUUUUGGCUCAGGUCAUGAUCUCACAGUCCUGAGAUCUAGCCCCAUGUCGGGGCCCCAUGGAGCCUGCUUGGGAUUCUCUCUGUCCCUCUGCCCCUCUAUCCUACUCACAUUCUCUCUCUCUCUCUCUCUCUCUCUCUCUCUCUCUCUCUCAAAACAAACAAACAUUUAAAAAAGAUCUAGUAUUACCAACAUCAAUCACUGUUCAGUUUGCUGUUAUUUCCGCCCCCGCCCCUCCCCCCCCCCUCGCUUGUGAAAUGGACCAGGAAUCACUGUAGAUGCCACCGGAGUCAGGGGGGACGGUGUUUGUUCAGCCCUACAAUGAAACGAAAGGCCUCCCACGUGCCUUACUGAGUGCAGGAACAUCUGUCCAUCUUAAAGAUAAAGAAGAUGGUGUUCCUGCCUUGGGGGGUACUUACAGCCUGGGGAGAGGGGUCGGGCGGAGAGAAUGAUGGGUGUGAUAAGCAUUGUGCAGUAGGAAGGCUGGGGGCCCGGCCGAGGGGCAUCAGACUCCGAUUGGUGGGAAUUCAGAGACUUGCCGGUGCUCACACCUUAACGGGGAAACCGUGUAAACGGAAGGGAAGGAAAUAGGAGGCUGUUGGAUUUAAUGGCAGGGCUGCAUUCUUGAAGACCUCACAGGAUUCCCAUCUCUCAUAAUGGACCCUCUUUGCUCCCACAGAACAGAAUGUAAAGAGAGUGCCGGUGUGCUUGAGAAAUUCUCAGAAAGUGUAGUUUUGCUGUAGCGUCGCUUUUCGCGUGGUGGGUCGCGGUUAUCUCUAACGUUGUGCUCAGUGGGUUUGCUCGUAAAUUGCUCACUGAGUAUCUCAUGACGGUUUUUUGGCUCCCCCAAUAGCCUUGCUGGUGGUGGUGGUGGUUAAUCAUCAUCAUCCUCGUGUGUUUUUAAUCUGGCACCAACAUUCGACACAGUGCCUAGAUCAGGGGUCGGCAAACUCUUUUCCCUAAAGGGCCAGAGAGUUCAUAUUUCAGCCUUGCAGGCUAGAUGGUGAUUUGUUGCCGUGAAUCACCUCUGCCUUUUGAGCAAGAGGGCUGCGACAGACAAUAUAUAAACAAGCGGGCAAGUCUGUGUUCUAGGAAAACCUUUUUUUAUGGACACUGCAGUUUGAAUUUCAUAUCAUUUUUAUGUCAUAAAAUAGAAUCCUGCUAACUUUUUUCUUUUUUUUUCUUUUUUUAAACGUUUUAUUUAUUUUUGACAUAGGGAGAGACAGAGCAUGAACAGGGGAGGGGCAGAGAGAGAUGGAGACACAGAAUCUGAAACAGGCUCCAGGCUCUGAGCUGUCAGCACAGAGCCCGACACGGGGCUCGAAUUCACGGACCGCGAGAUCAUGACCUGAGCUGAAGUCGGACGCUAAACCGACUGAGCCAACCAGGCGCCCCUAAUUUUUUUCUUUUUUAAAAACUUAUUUAGGGGCGCCUGGGUGGCUCGGUCGGUUAAGCGUCUGACUUCACCUCAGGUCAUGAUCUCACGGUCCGUGAGUUCGAGCCCCGCGUCGGGCUCUGUGCUGACAGCUCAGAGCCUGGAGCCUGUUUCAGAUUCUGUGUCUCCAUCUCUCUCUGCCCCUCCCCUGUUCAUGCUCUGUCUCUGUCUCAAAAAUAAAAAAUAAAAAAUAAAAAAAAGUUAAAAAAAAUUAAAAAAAAAAAGAUAAAAAUUUAUUUAAAAAUAUGACAAAGCAGGCAGUGAGCAGGUUUGGCCUACUGGUCAGUUUGUUGACCCCUGGCCUAGGUGACUAUAAUAUUUGAAAAUUGUUUUAAAUUAUAAAAAGUGAAUGUUAAAAUAUCCCAAUAGUUAACAAAAUCACUCCUAGAAGCUUGAGUGUUCAUAAGAGUGUAGAGCUUAAUUCACGAGUUCUAGCAAAAGACUGUGGGUGUUUACCAUCUUGGGUGAUAUCAACAUAGCAAUUACUUCAACACAAUUUGUAAUUCUUUUUUUUUUCUAAUUUUUUAAUGUUUAUUUAUUUUUGAGAGAGAGACAGAACGCGAGCAGGGGAAGAGCAGAGAAAGGGAGACACAGAAUCCAAAGCAGCCUCCAGGCGCUGAGCUGUCAGCACAGAGCCCGAUGUGGGGCUCGAACUCAUGGACUGAGAGAUCAUGACCCGAGCCAAAGUCAGACGAUUAACUGACUGAGCCACCAAGCCGCCCCUAUAAUUCUUGAAGUAGUUAUUCUGAAUUAAAAAAUUUUAAUCAUACUCUUUCAAAAUUUAGGCAUCAAAUGACUUUAUUAAUAUUGUUUUAUCAUUCUAUUUUAUGAUUCCAGUUGUGGACCAUGAAAUUGUUUAUUAUUGUACGGUGUUGUGGAGUCUAGCAAUUCUGCCUGACUCUCAACAGCCUGAUGACCUAUGGUAGGGGCUUUGGAACUUGAUUUUGGCUGGAAUUUUUACUGUAGAAGCCAGGGGAAGGCAUGGAAGGAGCACCAAGGCGUAUGUCUGGCACAUGGUGAAUGUGGAAUAAACUUUUGUUCCCUCGCUUCCUUUUCUUUUCCUCCCCACCCAAACUUUCUGUGUGUUUGGUCAGCUCCAAAACAUGCUGAGCCUCUUUGAAAUUGUUACUUUGGUUCUUUCCACAUGCAGUAAAGUCACUAACUUUUUUCAAUGGAAACAAAAACAAAGGCUGUUAGAAAGCAGUUUCCCCUCCCGGGUCACCGGCUUUCCCUUGCAGAAGAAUAAGCAGUGCUCUGCUGAGAUCGCCGGCCGGGGCCAGACCAGAGGCCCCAGGUCCAAGGAAGGCGCCUCCAGCUGGGUGCAGACCCAGCUCUCCAGCCAGGAGGGGGGACGCCUGGCCUGCUGGCCGCUCCGAGCCGUGCAGCUCCUGGGUGUAUCUUGGUUUCAAGGAUUCCAACGGUAGGAAAGCCAGGGUCCUCUCCAGAUGGAAGACCACCAGCCCCGAAGGUGACCGUGAUGCUGUAGCUCUUGGCUCGCGAGUGUGCUCUUGCUGUGUGUGUUGGACGGAAGGCCUGUCUUGAGUAGACGUGUGUUUGUGUUGUUUAGAGGAUAAUGGCGCAUAACCACGUGUGCUUUCUGGCCUGGGGUCCGGCAGGAUGUAAGAGGAGGCAGCCGCUAUCCCUUGGCCAGGGAGACUUUUCAUUAUUACGUUGGCUGGGGGCUGGUGUUCCUCCUGUGCUUUAGGAGCUCUUUGGUUUAUGUACAAGUGAUCUUGGAGCCAAGGGCACGGGUGUUGAGUCCCGACUUUGCAUGAACUUGCCAUAGAACCUCCAGCAACACAUUCUCCCACACUCUCUGGGGUUACGAAUUCUUCGUUCCUAAGUGAAUGGUGACAACCUAGACCAUUUCUGGGGGCUCUUUUCUCAGUUGAGAUAUGUGGGGAGCCCAGACUUUCACUCCCACCCAGCAUCAAUAAGGCAUCCUUCCCCCUCCCCACUGGGGUGGUCAGAGGAGGCCUAGUGGAGAGUCCAGACUCUUACCACCGCCUGGCAGUAAUGAGGCCAUUCAUCCCCUUUCCCUUCCUGCCAAUGGUGCAAAUGGAGGCCAGAUGAGGCACGGUAGUGAGGCAUCCCUAACCUCCCCAGCCAGAGAAGUAUCUAUGGGACCUGCUGGAGAGCUCAGCAGUUAUGAUGCUCCCCCUUCCCUUCCAAAGUCAGUGGAGGCCAAGUGGCCAAUUUGGGUUUCCCUCUCACCCCUGGCCAUCAUGAGGUGGGGUCCUCCUUCCCUUGCUGAAGCCAUAUGAAAGGCAGCCAGCAAAAAUGGAAGGUUUAAGUAAGAUCCAGAGCCUCAUAACACGAUGCCUAAAAUAUCCAGGAUGUGAUUGGACAUUACUCAUUGUAUCAAGAACCAGGAAGAUCUCCAGCUGAAUGAAAAAAGACAGUCAGCUGAUGCCAACACCGAGAUGAUGGAGAUGUGAGAUUUAUCUGACAAGGCUUUUAAAACAGCCAUCAUAAAAUGCUUCCGCGAGCAGUGCUGAACGUGCUCGAGACAAAUGAGAAGAAAAUAGAAAGUUUCAGAAAAGAAAUAGAAGACCUAAAGAAGAACCAAAUGAAAGUUUUCUUUAAAAAAAAAUGUUUGUUUGUUUGUUUAUUGAGAAGGGGGAAGGGGGCAGAGAGAGAAGGAGAGAGAGAAUCUCAAGCAGGCUCCACGCUGUCAGCCCAGAGACUGACGUGGGGCUCGAACUCACACACCAUGAGAUCAUGACCUGAGCCCAAACCAAGAGUUGGAUGCUUAACUGACAGACCGUCCAGCGUCCUCAAAAUGAAAAGUCUUCAAAUUUAAAAAUAUAACAAUUGAAAUAAAAUCUCACGAGGAUGGGCUGAACCACAGAACAGAGAUGACAGAGGACAGAAUCCGCGAACUUGAAGAUGUAACAAUAAAAAUUACCUGAUCUGAACAACAGAGAGAAAACAGACUGGGGGAGGGAAAAAAACAAGGUGAGAUCAUCAGGGAUCUAUAGGACUAUAAUAAUGUCUUUGAAAUCUUAAGAUGGAAGAAAGAAGGUAGGACUGAAAAAUACUCAAGGAACUAGAACUUCCUGAGGUUAGGCUAAGGUACAAACCCACAGAAUCAGGAAGCACUAGUGAAUUCCCAACAGGAUAAACCCAAAGAAGUCUGUACCACAGUACGUCAUAGUCAAACCUCCGAAAAUAAUCGGCAAAAAGGAAAAAUGAAGGAGGAAUUGGUCUGCUGGGUUUCGAGACCUCUAUAGCUGUAGGAAUCCAGUCCGUGUAGCGGGAUAGGCACACAAGUCAGUGGCCCAGAAGAGAGAACCCAGAAACACGCCCAUCCGAUUUUUGACAAAGGUACACAGGGACAUGGGAGAAACGCCAACUGGAAUGAUUUCAUUGAUGAGCGAGGGGAGGCUGGUAGACGAUGGAAUGGAAAGGAAGUUUAUCUGAGGGAUAAUACAAACGAAAACUUGAAGGUUGGCAAGAGGCCAGGCCUAGGCCAUGCGGGAGGGGAAGUCACAGAAGCCCAGGUAAGCUUUGAGCUUUUAUUCAUGGGAAGGAUGGUGGUAUCACCACCCAAGUAUGGGAAGGCUCCGUGGGAGGGGGACCUGGUGUGGAGCUGGCGGCUGGCUUCUUUUAUUAUUCAUCUUGGGUGGGUCAUCGGCAGGCAGAAACUGGAAAUAGUCUGAAUGAGAGGGGUAGGCCUUGAGAUGUGGAGCCUUGGAGACCCGAGCAUGAGAUAAUAAUCAGAGAGGUCAGAGGGUAAGAGUCCUUACCCUGCGUGCGCAGCUCAUUAGUGGGGCCUGGUUACUGGUGAUAUUUUUCUAGUCCUGGUUUGGGUCACAGGGAGCGUCGACAAGGCGGACAGAAGUGACAGGAAGAGAACAGAUUUGCCUGGCCAUUGACGCUAGAGAAAAAGGGUAUGGUUAACGGUUUUAUUCUGCUAAACCCAACUGCCUUGAUUGCCCCCUUGACCUCUGGGUGACCUUUGACUCCAACGACUUGCUUCUCUUGGUUGCCUUGAAUACAUUUCCUAGUUCAUGAGAUGGCUGUCUGUUUCACAUUAUCAUAAUCUUUCAAUCACUGCACCUGAUGUCAGCUUUACCUAAUACCGGCCCAUCACAGAUUUGUGUAAAGGAAGUCAGGCUAAUUGCUAGGCUUCUGCCGCCUUCUGUAAGGAUAUAUGGAGCCUUUUGGCACACGCUGCCCGGCAGCGAUUGCUACAGAUCAUUGACUAGAUUUCUAUCACGUAAAAAAAUAAUGACAUAAUUCAAAUGUCAAUGCAGAAGCCGUAAGAGCCAAGCAAAAAAGAGGCAAAUCCUUUCCCCUGGUGCUCAGAAGCACCGAGGGCAGAGUGUGUGGCUGGCUGAUUUAUGGUGACUGAGGCAUGCUGGGCCGGGACGUGUUCUGGACAGGCAAAUGCAUGCGGGGACUGAGGAAAUAACCUGGACUCAAGGCCAAAGCCGCCGUGGAGUGAACGGGCGGAGCACAACCUCACGCACAGCAGCUUCCCCGGCUGGGGCCCAUGCCGCAGUCUGCAUGUUGUGCACCAGGUAAAUGUGAGUGCGAGCCUCUCUCCUGGAAAUGUAUGUUUGAGGUAGCGUGCGGGGGACCUGCGAGAUGGUUUAACGUAGUGCAAAGACAAACCAUGACUCCCGUGGUCAAGUGGCUCGGGUUCAGAUCAUGCUGCUUACUUACUAGCUCUGGGACUGCAGACAUAUUGUUUCAGUGCUUACAGCCUCAGUUUCCUCUUCUGUAAAAUGGGGAUAUCAAUAACACCUACCUCCUAGGAUUGUCUUAAGAACAUAUAUAAACAUGUAUAAUUUUUUUCUUAAUUUGAGAGAGAGAGAGAGAGAGAGAGAGAGAGAGGAGGGGUGCAAGCUGGGGACGGGGCAGGGGGAGGCAGAGAAUCCCAAGCAGGCUCCAUGCUCAGUGCGGAGUCUGAUGCAGAGCUUGAUCCCACGACCCUGAGAUCAUGACCUGAGCCGAAAUCAAGAGUUGUACCCUUAACCAAUUGAGCCACCCAGGCACCCCACGUGUCUAAUUUUAUAGAUAACUUUUUUCCUGAAAGAAUACCACAUUAGCUGUGUUCUUCCCGGUCCUGAAGUCUUACCUAGACCCGUUUUGUAGAUGAAUGUGGUCUUGCCUUCUGUGGAUCUGUUCUUUUAGUGUUAGUGCAUCUGGGACACUCUCCUUUGCCGAUACGUGUGUGUGUGUGCACGUGUGCACACAGAUGUACGCAGGUGCUUGCUGGAGUGGCAAGAGGCCAUCCGCAGGUGGCAGGACCUGAGUUUGUAACAGAAGGAAAGGAGGUGGACCAGGAGGUUGGCUCAGCCUGAGCCAAAGCUGCCAUUAGUCCCAGGGCCACCUGUUUUGACCAAGGGGGCUGGAGAAUGUAUUGGUCUUUGAAAUGGGCUGGAUCACCAUCUUGGAGAGGGCCUGGGCAGCAAAUCUGUGGUUCCCACAGAUUUGAGCUCCCUGCAGAGCCCCGCUGUGGGAGUUUGAUCUUGUUUCCUUUGAUUAAUGGCAACCCAGGGAUUACAAACUACUCUUGGCAGGGGGUGCUGGGGAGAGAUGGAGUGCUCAGGGUGGGGAGGAAGGCUGUAUCGGUGUGGUGUCUCGGUGUUUUUGAUCCCUUGGUAGGGUGGCCUGCAGCCCAUCACAGCUGCUUAUUUGCAUGUUGGAGGCUUUGGGGUGGGGGUAGGGGCAGAGAAUGUCAUCAAUAGUGUUAAUUUCAGAAAGUGUUAACAUUUACUGUGGAAGCAAAGUGACUGUUUAAACGCUGGGCUGGGCAACAGUAUCUUGGAAACAUGGUAUGAUCAUGCUUGGAGAGAGGCCCUCUGAGUGAGACUGAAUGUAAAUCCUUUCUGUCAUCACAGAGCACCUACUGUGCCCCAGGCCCUGUUCUAGGCUUCAGGAACAUUAAAAAAAGCGCAAGUCUUUGAGAAGAGUCUUUACUCUUCUGUAGUCUCACCUAAGGGGGCUGAAAGACAAAUGCAAAUCACAUUGAUACACUGUGACAAUUGCUAGAUGGGAGUUCUGCUGGAGACUUUACACAGAAGUAAAGACAUUUAACCAGGUUUAUCAAGUGCUGUAAAUCAAAUGACCAAGUAACAUUUGGGGAAAGAAAGGGUCUUACUCCAGAUGCAUUUCUGCCUUUGAUCUGUAGUAUGAGGCCAUUUGAAGUUGAAAAACCGACUUUAUACAGAAGCAGGAAUAAAUGGCCCAUUUAUUUCAAAUAUCUUGCCUUCCUGAUAUUUCUGACCUUGAACGUUUUCCUUAGUUACCUGGGAAACAUUCUUUAGGACCGAAAACAAAUAUAAACCACAUCAAUGGUAAUGACCAUGAAAAAUGAUGCAAUUUGUAUCGAGAUCCUUAACUAAUCUGUGCCGAGUACCAAUUUCUCCAGGUAAGAAAGGAGAGGUAGGCGUUUUCCUAAUUGAGUAACCAAACCUGCUGUAAUGUGUUUGCUUGGAAGUAUCCAGGGAGUUUCAAUGGCUCUUCAGACAUUUUUUUUUCCUAGAUCAGAUUCUGUGGGUUUUCAGGUCACUCUGGGUAAGCCAGCCAGGUUACAGAAUGGAGGUUCAAUGGGAAGAAAUGAAUAACAUGGCCGAGUUUGACGAUGACAGAGGAAAAAGGACACGUUCUGCAAGGGGCUAGGAGACAGGAUGGAGCACAGAGGGCUGGGAGGGAGAUGUUCCUCUGGCUGGCUUCACCCAGUUGGAAGAGGCUGGAAGAGGCUGGCCUGGGGCUCCUCAGGGCCCGGCCCUGAAUACCCUGCUGCCUGGGGCAGGCAAGUGAUGACGGCCCCCGGAGGGUGUAGGAGGGUGGGCCUCUCUGUGGAGGCAACACAGGCCUGCGGUGGGUCAGCGCCUCCAUUCUGGUUCAAGGCCAGCCUGUAGCCACUUACUGAACAUCAGCAAUAGCAGAGAGCAGACAUGGGCUCUGUUUUCUGAGAAGUGGGACUCACGUGCCUCUCUUCUGAAGACAGUGUCAAAUGACGAUUCAGUGCCUAAAAUCUGGGCUCGGGCUGCCUGGUUUUGAGUCCUGACUCCCCCACCUACUCACCGGGUGGCUUGGAAAAGUGACUUAACCUCUCUGUACCUCCAUUUUCCCCAUGGCAAGUUGUCGUAAGGCUAAAAAUGAGUUCAUGUGUGUUAAGCAUAUCGAAUGCCAUCUGGCACAUGGUAGCCACUGAGUAGAUGUUUGCUGGCAUCCUUGGCCUCAUGACUAUUAUGAUCAGAAAUGAUAGAGUAUGAAAACGGCUCAUCCUGGCUGACUUUGCUCUAGGUGAUGUUCAUGGCACAAUGAACAAUCACGUCCUGACCUGUUUCACCUCCUAGCACAUCCACGAGGCACCUUCGGUCCUUUAGGAAAGCAUCCAUUCAUCCAUCCAUCCAUCCAUCCAUCCAUUCAUCCAUCCGUCCAUUCACGUGUUUAUUACUAAAUGGCUAACUAAGCAUGAUUCUCUGCUAGGUGAGAGGCAGUGACUCUAACAGUGAAAAGAGGGCCAACUCUGGUGUUGGCGAUCUGUGUUUGUCCCUGGCCUACCCUCUACCUGCCGUGUGGCCUCAGUUUUGCUGUGAUGAUUAAAUAUCAUGUCCCAUAUCAGGUGCUUAGUGAAAGUCGGUUCCUGACUCUUCUUCUGCUUUACUGUUAAUGGAAGACAGAUGGGGGUUGGACACCGAUGUUGGGAGCCUACAGCCUGGUACUUUUGUCCACAGACAAUUUGCACGUCAGGUAGGGGGCGCCGCAAAGGGUCGGCCACUGUUCUGGGAGAAGAAAGUUGGCGGAAAUGGCGGUGGAGCAGAAGUGUUGGUGAUGUUGGGGAAGACGGGAUUGGGCGGAGCAUAGGCCCAGCGUGGAGGCCCUUGUUCUGUCAGGACUUUCUGGGGGCGGCUUUCGCAAAGGAAGGGCAGCUUCCGCAAAGGAAGGGCAGCUUCUGUGACUUGCCCCCACCACAUGUUCCUGGGUGCUGAUUUGGGGUCUGGAACUGCCUCCUGAAAUGUCUGGUCCUCAUUCUUGUGGUGAGUCCCUUCCACUGCCCCAGGGAGUAGGGCUUUUGUUUGUCUGGCUGACCGCUUUACAUCAUGGGGGUUCCAGAGGGGGAGAAGCCUAAGUGUGGGGGGAAGAUGGGGAGGUGGAACUGGCUCCUGUCGUGGUGAUGUGGCCUCAAGGUGGGCCUUUCUGAACCCACGCAUGGGAGGCUGAGCAGAUCCUUUUCUUCCGGGGACCACGGAACUCAGGUGGGUUUUUCCAGGAGUUCUGGUCAGGCCAUGAGGAGAAGGGGCAGGAAACAUGCUCAGAGGUGGGCCUGUUGGUAAAGGGCAGCAAAACAGUGCCACUGUCAUCUUUGGGGUUGGGAGCCACCUUCCACCCUGAGUUAAAUCUGUCAUGGCUCCUCCUUCUGUCUCCGCCAUACUGAGCCUUGGAACCCCGUGCCACUUCCUCCUGGUGCGUGGGGACUGUGACUCUAGCCUGACCCAAAUCAGGUGACCGUUCAGCCUUCCUGCAGGAUCUUUGUGGAAAGGAGAGAGAGUCGGGCCCUGGGCUUCCCCCAGGGAGCCUAUGUUCUAACAGCAACUACAUCGUUGGAUUUGUUGGUCGCUGUCAAGAAAAGUUAUAAAUCCACAGACGCAAACCUCAAAAAGCGGAAUCAGCCCCACAGACAGCAUGCUUACUCAGCUCCCCAGGCUCGGCACAGUGCCGCCAAAUGAAUUUUUGGGAAACCUCGCUUUCAUCAGGUCUCUGCCUGCUCCCUACGAUGGCUCUUUCCCAGCCAUCUCAUCGAAAUUCGGUGCGGCUUCUCAGGGGCUUGGGCAAUGUGGUUCUGCCUCGUCGUCAUGACUUUACUCCCCCUGACCAGUUCGAACUCUGCCGUGCCUUCUGGUCUUCCAGUGCAUUUAAAAAGGGCAUUUAAACUGUUCUGUGAGCCACGGCGAGACAUGGCUGCCCACACUGUGUGCGACGGACGCCAGAGCGUUUCCUUUCUCCUUCGUUCUUUCCUGUUUCACUUAAAAAAGUGCAGGUUAUGACCCACAGAAUUGUUUCCUGACAGACAGGGGUUGCGGCCCGCGGUUUGAAAAGCAGAACUGACAUAACACAGUAGUGAUCACAGAAGCACAGGUGAACACCAGGAAAUGGCAGCGUCCCUCUGGAACAAGCUCCUCAACUGUAUGAUCGGAUAAAAGUGAUGAGUCAAAUCUGAUUGAGACGUUGGUCAAAAAACAUUCUGGACCAGUGGCCUCCGAAACUUUUUUUGGAUGGCACCCUCCAUCGGUAAAAAAUGUCUACACGUACAGCUCCCGCAUAGUGUUUGGUUAUCAUUUUUUAACUAAUGUAUGAUGUGACCACAUAAGAUGUACACCCAAAAUAUAAAUUCUAAGAAGGUGAGGCAAAGAGGAAAAAAGCCCUAUUUUAAAAUGACAGGUAGGGCGCCUGGUGGCUCAGUCGGUUAAGCGACCGACUUCGGCUCAGGUCAUGAUCUCACGGUUCGUGAGUUCGAGCCCCACGUCCUGCUCUCCACUCCCAGCACAGAACCUGCUUCGGAUCCUCUGUCUCCCUCUCUUUCUGCCUCUCCCUGGCUUGUGCUCUCCUUCUCUUUCUGUGUCAAAAAAAAUUAAAUAAACGUUAAAAAAAAAAAAAAAGAGAGGCUAAUCAUGACGGUUUCGUUCUAUUAUCAGCAAAUAGCUGAAGGCAAGAUAUGCCCAGAGGAUGGGGUCCAUGGUUCUCAGCAGGGGCUGUCAAUCUGUUUUCAAAUUGUUUGGAUAUUUAAGAUGUUUUUCUGGUUGGCUUCUUGUCAGUUGUGGAAACCACUGCUUUGCAGCAGACCUUCUUUCCUCAACAUCGCCCUUCCUUUCCUGAAAAAACCAGAAAAGCUCCCUGGUACCUGGUUUUGCUGCUUCCAUCCACCAGAAAUCCGAAGGGAGUCAUGGGUGACUCUUCUCUUUCCUUCAUGCCACAGCCAUUCAUUUGCCGUAUUCAGGGGAUUUUUACCUCCUCACAGGGGGGCGGGUCUCCCCAUGUUCUCCUCCCAUUGCUGCAUUGCUCCCACACUGCUUCCUUCUUCCUUCCGGUUCCUCCCACGCCUGUAUACACGUGAUUCGCAUUUCCUGCGACGUCCAUGCCUGGCUGUCGCCUGCUUCAAGCCCCAGCAUAAAGGUCAGUUCCUCAGAGGGACCUUCUCCGGCCACUGCCCGGUGUACCUCCUGAGGCACCUCGGACUUUCUUUCAUGGUGCUUGUAAGAAUUGUAUUUUAUUUUAAUCAAUUUUUUUAACGUUUGUUUAUUUUUGAGGGGGGGGGGGACUGAGCANNNNNNNNNNNNNNNNNNNNNNNNNNNNNNNNNNNNNNNNNNNNNNNNNNNNNNNNNNNNNNNNNNNNNNNNNNNNNNNNNNNNNNNNNNNNNNNNNNNNNNNNNNNNNNNNNNNNNNNNNNNNNNNNNNNNNNNNNNNNNNNNNNNNNNNNNNNNNNNNNNNNNNNNNNNNNNNNNNNNNNNNNNNNNNNNNNNNNNNNNNNNNNNNNNNNNNNNNNNNNNNNNNNNNNNNNNNNNNNNNNNNNNNNNNNNNNNNNNNNNNNNNNNNNNNNNNNNNNNNNNNNNNNNNNNNNNNNNNNNNNNNNNNNNNNNNNNNNNNNNNNNNNNNNNNNNNNNNNNNNNNNNNNNNNNNNNNNNNNNNNNNNNNNNNNNNNNNNNNNNNNNNNNNNNNNNNNNNNNNNNNNNNNNNNNNNNNNNNNNNNNNNNNNNNNNNNNNNNNNNNNNNNNNNNNNCCCCCCCCCCGCCGACAGCCGAGGAAAUUGAAAGACAGAAGUGUUAAUGCCGAAAGUCACCAGCUUAAUAAAUGAGGCCCCUGGUCUCAGACCUAGGUCAUUGAGGCUACAGCGUGUGCACUUUUUACAGGCUACUCUGGAUGGCUCAUUUGUAACCCGCGUAGACUACGGGCUGACCGUAAGUGCCAUCUUCCUUGCCGAUGUCUGACCAGCCCUCUACAGCGAUUUUUCUCUUGAUCUAGCUUGGUUUGUGCCCAGGGUCUGUGUAUAACACUAUUCACCUGUUGUUCUAGACAACGCUGUCCUUUCCUCUGACAGCUCCAAGUCCCCGAAUCUUAUCCACCUAAGCUAGAUUGUAAAGGGAAAGCACUGACUCAUCCUUUUCUUGAGUCUCAUGAUAAGUAAAUAAUUAUUGAUUAGUUGAUCAUUAUUAGGAGCUUGGCAGAGAUUUCAUCCUACUCUCUGUCUUCACACAGACCCACUGCCUGGCCAAGAAGACAAUGCCUUGGAUUCAGAGGAGUUUUAACUGUUCCAAUUUAUGCUUGUUGGCCUUCUUCCUGGUGGAUCUCAGUGUAACUUCUGGCUGAGACCCAAGAAUUUCAGGGUCUUCAAUGCCAUGAGUAAUUUCAUGAGUUGCUGAUGGCUAAUUAGGGGUGAUUACAGUUAAGAGGCUUUAUUUCUUAAUAGCCCCCAGAAAGGGCUGGUGGUAACUUUUAAAAUCUUGAUUAUUUUCCCCUGCAAGUGGAAGGCUCUGAUUCGCAUCACUGUCUUUUCUUAAGUCCUUAUAAUUUAUCUCACCAUCCCCACUUCCACCCCUUUUCUGGUAAGAAAGAAAUCUGAAGGGGAAACCGAUGAUUUUGGAAAACUGGCUUUAUUAGAGCGGACCCCUGGGCAUGGCUUGAAACCUCGCUUCAUCUGUUGCCUUUCCCUGAGAAGGAGGUACAGGAAGAGGGGAGACUGGGCCGUGGUUUUUCUUCCCAAGUUCCAUUAUAUCCCAACCAAACCUCCCAUCCCAGGCUUUCUGAUGCCGUUUAUAGUUUACCUUUGAAACUGUUGGUUCAUCUGACAGUGUUAAGACAUUCUGUGUAGUAAGGGCUUCCGAGGAGAGGUGUAUUUGUAGGUGGGGGGUUCUACCCUCCUCUUUUUCCUGGGACGACACAUUGCAGGUGUCGCUUGACCUCUUCCUGCACCAAUGCCAGCAGAGCUACUUGGUGAUGAGUGUCGCUCGGGUGCCAGGCACGGGCCAAGCCCGGUGCACAUGUCCGCCACUUAAUCCCCACCACCUGUGUCAAUCCCUUAGGCAGUAUUUUUUUAAACAGUUUCAUUGAGAUGUAAUUCACAUAGCAUACACCUCACCGAUUUAACAUCUCCAAUUAAAUGAUUUUUAAUACAUUCACGGGUUGGGCAGGCAGCCAUCAGCACAGUGUAAUUUGAGACCACUUUUGUCACCCCAGGAGGAAAUCUUGCACCUCCCCUUAUCCCCUCCCAACCUUUCUGACCCUGGCAGCCGCUCAUGUAUUUUUUUGUCUCUAUAGAUUUGCUUACCCCCAACAUUUCCUGUAAAUGGAAUCGUGCAAUAUGUAGUCUCCUGUGGCUGGCUUCUUUAACUCAGGAUAAUGUUUUCAAGGUUCAUGACGAUGUAGCAUGUAUCAGUACAUCAUUUCUUUUUAUUAUUAAGCAGUAUGUUUUUUCUUUUUUUUUUUUUUAAAGUGUAUUUAUUUAUUUUGAGAGCAAGAGAGAGAAUGAGUAGGGGAGGGGCAGAGAAAGAGGGAAAGAGAGAAUCCCCCAUGCAGUCAGCACAGAGCCCAAUGCGGGGCUCGAUUCCAUGAACUGUGAGAUCACGACCUGAGCCGAAACUAAGAGUUAGACACUUAACCGACUGAACCACCCAGGCGCCCCACGAUUUUUUGUUUUAAUGUUUUAAUGUUUAUUUAUCUUUGAGUGAGAGAGACAGAGUGUGAGUGGGAGAGGGGCAGAGAGAGAGAGGGAGACACAGACUCCAAAGCAGGUUCCAGGCUCUGAGCUAUCAGCACAGAGCCUGACACGGGGCUUGAACUCACAGACCUGGCGAUCAUGACCUGAGCUCAAGUCGGACGCUUAACCGACUGAACCACCCAGGUGUCCCCUGUUAGGCGGUAUUUUUACCCCUAAAUGUACAGUUGGCGGAACCAAAACACACAGAGGCGAAGUGACUUUCCUGUGGUCAUGUAGCCUUUAAUAGAUGGAGCUAGAUUUCCAACGCAGGGUUGCCUAAUGCCGACUCUGAUAUUAGCCAGUCUGAGAUAAUCAUACUAAUAGUAAUUUAUUGAACAUCUUUUAUGGAUCAAUGCCUGUGCUGAAUGUCCCAUAAAUCUGUUACCUCAUGUUCGUGUAUACUCGGAUUUCAACUGGGAAAUGUAACCAUAACUGGACAGUGGCGUUUUUAUUUUAAUGGCUUCCAUUUGCUCGCUUCCGGUUUCAUUGGCCCCCCCUUAGACUCCAGGAUCUUCUUAAGCAAAUGAUGCUAAAAAUAGUAUUGUUGUUCCUUCCGUAGGAGUUGAACAUCACUCCCAUCUGCGGAAAACUGGUAACAUCUCAGAGGAGCCCUUGCUUCUUCCGGGACGCCCAGCAUCAUGGUUUCUUAUUUCAUGCGGUCUCUCAGGUAAGUGGAGAACCUUUUCAAAAGACAACAGGAAAACAGGAAAUUCGAUAUUUGCAUUUCCUCUACAGUCUCUAUAGUAACUAGCCUUGAGGGUCUGCACAUCAGUAAUAUUGUUGAUAUAUUAUGUUCAUGUGUAUAAUAAGUCCGCUAUUCACAAGAGCCCUCGAGGCCUAGGGAGUAGUGUGCUGUGGGAAGAGGUGCUCGGACUGAGAUCCAAGUGACUUGGGUUCAACCCGAUGUUCUGCUAGUUCCUGGGAGACCUCUGGGGUUCAGAUUCUUAUUUUUAUUUAUUUAUUUAUUUAUUUAUUUAUUUAUUUAUUUUUUUUUUUAAAUUUUUUUUUCAACGUUUAUUUAUUUUUUGGGACAGAGAGAGACAGAGCGUGAACGGGGGAGGGGCAGAGAGAGAGGGAGACACAGAAUCAGAAACAGGCUCCAGGCUCCGAGCCAUCAGCCCAGAGCCUGACGCGGGGCUCGAACUCACGGACCGCGAGAUCGUGACCUGGCUGAAGUCGGACGCUUAACCGACUGCGCCACCCAGGCACCCCUGGAUUCUUAUUUUUAAAUAAAGACGUUCCUGGAUGCGUGGAUAUUUAGCCUGGCUGCCCAAUGGAAUUACCUGAAGAACUUAAGCCAAUUUUAUCCUCUGGCUUGGACUUAAUUGAUCCAGUGUACUUAAAAAGGGACAUCUCUGGUUCCUUCUGCUCAAAACAUCUGUGACCUUCACCUGCGUGUUUUAUUUGAUCCCGAUAGACCCUUUGAAAACUUCUUCGGUCCAAAUGCUCUGUAACAACACAAUAUGCAAAAUGGUUAACGGUAGUGUUUUAUUAAGCUAAAUUUGUUUCCUAGGUUUGGAUUUGUGAUAUUUACAUAUUAUGAGAUCAGUGAGUCUGUGUUGAUAAACACCAAAAUUUGGAAUCAGGAUUUAUGGAUGAUGGCUUGUACAUCAGCCCUAGCAUCUAGCUUAUUUUGCACUUGCUUUAGCUGUGUAGCAUUAAGAAAAUCUUGGGGCGCCUUGGGGCACCUGGGUGGCUCAGUCGGUUAAGUGUCCGACUUUAGCUCAGGUCAUGAUCGCGAGGUCUGUGAGUUCAAGCCCUGUGUCAGGCUCUGUGCUGACAGCUCAGAACCUGGAGCCUACUUCAGAUUCUGUGUCUCCCUCUCUCUCUGCCCCUCCCCUGCUCACGCUCUGUCUCUCUUUCUCUCUCUGAAAACUAAAUAAACAUUAAAAAAAAUUAAGAAAAUCUUGAUCCACAAGGUAAGUAAUUGCAGUUCCUGAAGGAAGUUCAUCUUGCAAUCUCAAGAUGCUCUUUAAAUAAGUAGACUCAGAAUGUAGAAAGUGGGGAAGGAAGAAUUUUUUAUUUAAAAGUUGAAUCACUAAGGAUAUCUUGUACUUUUUUUUUCUUUUGUAACUAUACAUUAGCCCUGAAUGCUCAGAACUUACAAUAAAAAGCAAAAUGGCUUAUAAUAUGUUACUAUGGUGGUGCCACAUGUGAUUGCCCAACCAGGGCUAGAGCAUUUGCUAGGCAGAUGCUCUUAGGCCAAUGCCUGGCAUUUAAUUGAGUGUAGUGUGUGUGUGUGCGUGUGCACGCCCUAGUCUGUAGUUGCUUGUAUAAUUUUACAUGAACAGACAUGUGCAGGCCUGAAGUCCAAAGACCCGUGCAGAGCUACAGCCUUCUUCAUUAAUGUCAUUCACAAGUGUGUCACAGUCAGACCGAAGUCAGGAAAAGCUCCAUUCUGAGGUCUCCGCAAAAUCCAACUGUUAACAGGGCAGCCCAGAUCUGCUCAGGGAUAGUAUUUGAUAACUAACCUAAAUUAGCAGGUUUGCAUUUUUAAACCAUAGUUUAAAAAAUAGAUUUAAAAGAUAUUUCAAGACAUGAGCUAUGCAUCGUGUUUGUGAAAACUCCAAAAUAAUGCUGUACAACCACAGGGGAGUGAGAAGUGCACUUGGGCCACUGGGUCACUUCAGAACCACAGCAUAUUUGAGCACCAGGACCCCAAUGGGGGACAGAGAAGUGGAAGCCACAGUUGCAUAUUGAACUGGAUUGAAAAGGGCAGCAAAGGAUGACCAAAGGUGGGUUCGCCAUGUGGUACCCAAGUGGGAGCCUGGCCAGCAGCAGAAAGGCCUCUACAAGCCCUGAGGAUCCUCAAAAAUGUGGCCACCCAGGCUGCCCGAGGAAGGCCAUUGCUUGGGAGAAUUCCCCAAGUUUUUUCCUUGAUGGGAUUUUGGAAUUUUCAUUGAUGCCUCUGUGAAAACAGUUGACCUCUCCUAACCUGAUUGGUGGUUGGAAGCCAUCUCCCUUCGAGGGGAGGCUCACCUCCAGGCUGGGCGUUAUUUCAGAGAAAUUGCCCAUGGUUGGAAAUGAGCAGGGUGGGAGUAAUUGAAAGCUAGAUGUGGCCUUGCUACCCUUGGGAUUGAACUCUGGAAGUCUUGACAGGUCUCCAGGAUUAGGGUCCUUCUGAAAGGGUUGUUUAUUUUAAUUUAAUUUAAUUUAAUUUAAUUUAAUUUAAUUUAUUUAUAAGGUUUUUUUUAAUGUUUAUUUUAUUCUCUAGAGAGAGAGACAGACAGAGUGUAAGCAGGGUAGGGGCAGAAAGUGAGGGAGACAGAGUCUGAGGCAGGCUCCAGGCUCUGAGCUGUUAGUACAGAGCCCGAUGUGGGGCUCCAACUCAUGAACCGUGAGAUCAUGACCUGAGCUGAAGUCGAAAGCUUAACCCACCGAGGCAACCAGGCGCCCCUGAAGUGGCUGUUUAAACAGGCCUACUGAGCAGGACGUUUCUUCAAGAGUUCUGCUGAAUGGAGUUGGGGAGAGAAAAUGUGGGCUCUGAGGAUGGGUGAUUCUUUGCAAGAGCUCAGCUGCAGAUUCCAUGAAGUCUCCUUCUUCAUAAGCCAGGUUUUGCGUUAAAACUCAUAAACCAUUUUGCAUUCUGUUUCAAGGGCCUUAUAAAUCUAUUUUAAUCUGAAAAAAAACUAGGAUGACUUUUGUUUUAAUGCUUUAGAAAAUGUUCUGGGGAAAGGGCUAUGUUUACUAAGAGCUAGAAGUCUUUGAUAACAUUAGUAGAUCACACACGCACACCCAAAUUUUAAGGUUUUUUAAAAAAAAUAUUUAUAAAGGCAACCAAGUGCAUAAAGAUCAAUUGGAAAAGCUGGAAGAUUUCUCUACCUAUAGGGCAACAGGUCCAGAUUAGAAGUCAGCUGCCAAGAAAAUCCCUGAGAGGAAAAAACAUUGAAGGGGAUUCACAAUUCUGAUACGCAGAGAUUUAGUUUAAAAAUCCCUCCCCAGUUUUUGCCAAGCCACAGAGAAGCAGAAAGCCAGCUUCCCCCUCAUUGAAAAAGACCAAAAAGCCUGAAGUAUUAGCAUAGCAAGAGUAUCUCUGCCUUGCUCAAUGUCUGCAGUAAUAAAAAGAAUCACUGUUAAGCCCCACAGCAGAAAAAACACGAAAGUUUUAACUCUUGAUGGAGCUGGUUAGCGAGUUGUCUUUGAACGUUGGACAAGCCUGGAGGCCACGCAACAUUCAGGGCAAGGGAAAAAUCCAUUUGGACCAAAGGAUUAGUCAAGGCUACAUUAGGAAGUCUUUGUCCUGUUACAGGUUAACAGAGGAAAAGACACUAAGUGAUACCAAAGUGUAUAUAUUUCUUAAAGUCUUGCUCCAAAUGGUACACUUUUUUUUUUUUUAAAUGACAGUUACAGCCUGUGUGUUUGUUCAGUGAUUGAGUGGAAGCAAACCCAGUUUUCUGCUAGAAUUAGUAUAACAGGUGGUGAUGGCUACGUAUCAUGGCCAGCCAACAAAAUCUAUUUAGAGCCCGUCUGCAUGGUCGGGGGCUCAUUUUGUACCUCGUACUAUGCCUCAGUAUAGUUGACAGUGUUUAUGUUUGAAAGGAAAACACAAUGGUUGAAAAUGCCAGACAAGUGGUUAAAUUGGCAGAAAAUAAAGCUGACUAGGUGAUCCUUAUUUUUGAAGAGUAGGGUUUGAAGAAAUACAGACGUAAUUAGAUUACAGAGGUAGAUGGUGAUUUUUAUAGGUCUUGUGAAGUGGAGUUCUGGAUCAUUUUAAGGGGUUUACAGGUUGGUGGCCCUAGGUCAAGUGUCUGGUUUUAGUCUUCUGAAACGUAAGGCUUUUCUUUGCCUUCAUACACACUUCAGUACAGUAAUAUUACUGUAAUGCCUGUCAGCUGCUUCACUCAGAAAUACAGCCAGAAGGGACUGAUGAAAUGAGAAAGAGAGAGGUGGCUGUUCUUGGGGCAACUGAAAAAGAUCCCGAAUACAGAAAGGAAAAAAGAAGCGUGUUGAGAAGAUGUGUCUGUGUGUGUAAGAAAGAGAAUGACCAAAAUAGUGAUAUUUGAGAUAUGAUCCAUCAGUGAAAACGGAGACUCCCCUCAGGGGUGGAGGACUAUGUGGUCAUUGGGAAGGAUCAUGGGCUCAAUCAGUGUCCCUGUGCCAGUGACUAAGAAAUGCGGUGGAGGAGGAGAAAAUAAGGGAAGGAAAAAGGGGGAAAGGUGGGGGAGGGGGAGGAGGAGGAUAGAGGAAGGAGGGAGGAAAGAGAGGAGGAGGGGUCAGGUUUGGAUUAUUAGUAUUAAACUUAAUUGUGUUUGGGGAACCUGGGUGGCUCAGUUGGUUAAGCGUCCGACUUCGGCUAGGGUCAUGAUCUCACAGCUCGUGAGUUCGAGCCCAGUGUUGGGCUCUGUGCUGCCAGCUCGGAGCCUGGAGCCUGCUUCCGAUUCUGUGUCUCCCUCUCUCUCUGCCCCCUACCCAACUCAUGCUCGCUCUCUCUCUCUCAAAAAUAAAUAAACAUAAAAAAAAAAUUAAAAAAAAAAAACCCAUCAUGUUAAUAGAGCAGGACAGACUUUGUGUAGCCCGCAUCUAAACCACUACCCAGUUAAUACUUAAUGAACAUUUGUUGAAUAUUGAAUGAAUGAGUUGAUAAUGAUCUUUUGGGUAAAAGAAAGAAAGUAGAAAGUUUUUCUUUCCUGAUGAGGAUUGUUAGUUAAUUACAAAAGCAGGUUAAAGCAGCAAAUCAUACAAAUGAUACACACACACCUUUAACAGUUUAUUUUUAACUUAAAACACAUGUACAUUCACUCACUAUUUUUUGAUACGGGGCCAAGGACUUUUCUUUGAGCAUGAACCCCUGAUUGUCCUUCUUGCACAAACCACACCCAUAAACAUUAUCUAAGGUUUCCAUUUGGGUUUCUUUAACGUGGAGUGAGAAUUUAAAGACAUUUGCAAAGCAAUCUGAGUUCAGAUGAUUCUAGAUUUUAUUAUUUUUGCCCCUAAUCAUUUACAGUUGUCUCAUCCACACCUAAUUUGCCAACAGUCUUUUUUUUUUUUCUUGGCUACUUGCCUUUACUGAGUCUUUCCAAAGCAUUCAGCUUCAUUUUCGUAGAAACAACUAACAACGACUCCUUUUUGCGCUCUAUGUCAUGGGUUUGUGUACUAUUCGGAUAUUUUCAUGUGAUUCCAAAGCAACGGGCACACACAGGUUUGGGAACACGGUUGACCCUGUAUGAAGACAACUCCUCUGGUGGGAGCAGAACAGUACAAGUAUGCCGGGGAAGAGCCUGCUGGAAUCUUUUAGGGGAAGCCUGGUAGGAGAGCCAUCUGAAUGGUAGGCAGCGAGGCUAAGAGGAAAUAAAAUCGUUUUUUGGAGGACUGCCCUGGCAAACCCCUACCUAUAAAAUGAUGGCAAGCAUUCAGACAGUAUUGAUUUUUCUUUAUGCCUGGCACAGCCCUGCACCUGGAGCAUGUCCUCAUCACUCAGUACUUGACUGUGGGAUUUACUAGAACAUUCUGUACCCAAAAGCAUCCAGUGGAGUCAAGGUGUGAUCACUGGGCUGCCAGCUACCCAUUCCUUAUGGACCCAAGUGGAUUUAUAGGCUUCAGGUUAACAUUGACCCCCACCCCUGCCGGGGACUGGAACCCGUAACUGCCAACUUGUGGAAAUCUUCCUAAUUUAGGAUUGUCUUCCUUUUUCCUGUUCUUUUAUUUUCCCAACAGAGAAUUCUGAGAUGCACUUAGAAAACACUUCAUUGCUGGAGUGUUAUGACAGGAGCUCUUUGCACCUCUUUUGUGAGCCAUCAUUCUUCCCUCCCUCUGGUUCUUCUUUCUCUCUCACUUCAUUCCAUCCUCCCAAUUCUUUCAUUCACUCGCUAUUCAUUGGUCCUGAGGUGGGACCAGAGCUCUGCUGAUUGUCUACUAGCUGCAAAGAUGCAUCAGCAACCAUUUCCUCGAGAAAUCUGCCAUUGAGGAGGGGAAGUUACCAAAGGAUGAUGGGUAAAGAGCUGUGCGGUGACAGACACCUCACUUUGCCAGAGGCCCUGGUCCAGAGAACACAAAUGGCCGCAAGAGUUGAGAACCUGGAAAUCAGCAAUAAAAACCAAUAUGCAUAGAAUAGGUGUCUGUAAAUCCAUGCUCUAAAUUGGAAACAUUCACCCCACGAAAGGUAGGCAGGCCCUUGCGCCGAGCCUGUCGGUCUUACUUUGGGUUCAGCUUGGUUCUGAGGCCGAGGCCUACCUAAAGGAAGCCGAGUUGAGAGGGCACAGGCUUGUCCACGGCACAGCAAGCGAUGGCUGAUGGCCGGCGGGAGACAGCGAAGGGCAGGCUGGGGGUUCGGAGAAUCCCAGGCGUCUGGGCCUUUCAACCUCCUCAGCUCCAAGGCCACCACCUUGUGCUCCACAGAUGGCUUGAUAAUCAUGCUGGCGAUUCUGAGCCAUCUAAAAAAGGUUACUUACGCUCAGUAUACUCCGUAUAAGAAAUCAGGAAAAUAAAUAGAGUGCAUUUUUGUAAGUUUGGGAUUGAAAUGGUCGGCUUCCAUUAUUUUAAACCUUAGAAUGUUCUCUUGUGAGGCUGGAUAAACCAGGUUUUAUCACAUGUACUUACUUUCUGAUUAUUUUUGCAAGCAUGACAGAAAGUGAAACAGAUGUGUGAAGCCACAGCCUCGUAAGAAAGGGGAAGAAAAUUGAUGUGAUGAAAUGCAAAUGCUUGGUUUAAAGGUGUGUUGUGUUAAUGAGGCCCCAGAGCACGGUGGUUAAGGGUCCAGGCCAAGGGUCUGACUGCUGGCUUUGAAAUCAGCCUUUGCCACUUAGGUGGGUGUGCCCUUCGAUAAAUGACUUCGCCUCUCUGUGCCUCAAUUUCCUCACCUGCAGAGUGAAUAUAACGAAAGCGUCUGGCGGGAUGGUUGUGGAGAUUCAAUGAAAUAAUACUCGUAAGCGUUGAGCUCAUGGGUAGCCAUCAAGUCUUCAUGGUCGAAUGUCAUUUGUCACCUGUCUCCCUCUCUUGCUGCCUUUACUCUUAACUGCUGUCAGAGAAAGGCGGAGGGUUGAGCUGGUGAAAUGCAUGCUUAGCAAAACUUUUUCAGCUCCAGAGAACAGUAGGUAGAGAUUUCACUUCAGUGCUAAGAUUUUGGCUCUCUUUUGCUAAGGUCAGUAUAAUUUUAUUAGUUUCCCAACUGCUCCCCAAAUAUCUCUUGGGUUGUAUUAACUGAAGAAGAAAAGAGGUAAGGUGGGUUCCCCCCCCCCCCCCCCGUUUUCCUUGUUUUGUUACUUGAUAUGCUCAAGUGGUGUUGAGUUCAUUGAGGUAAUCCUAGGAACACAGUGGCUGUGACAUGAUCCAUCCUCCCUGGAGUUGAGGAUGUUGAUGCGGAGGGUGGGGAGCGGUUGGCCAAGGAAAAUCCAGAAGCCCAGAGCAGAGCCCUGGUUCCAUGAUGUAAAUCUUGUACUGAAUUUCAAUGAGUAUUAUUUUCUACAGGAGGAAAUGAAAUGAUGGAGUGUUUAAAAUCUACAACGACACUGGGUAGAUGGCAUUUUUUUUUCCCCCUGUGUGCUUUGGUGUGCAAGGUUGGGUUGUUUCUACUGCAAGGUGAAUCACAAAGUCUUGGUAGGAAUGUGGCUUCCCCCGCCGCUCGGAGGGGAGUGUAAGAUUUGUUUGCCAAAGGCCCUGGUAGCCUUCAAUCUGUCAAAACGUUGCAAGCGUGGAGCAGUCUGCCAAAGCAAACUAUCAAAGUGAAAUAACACACGAGUUGCACACACACAGACAUACACAUGCUGUCCCAUUCCCCAGACGUUGAUUUUGAAUUGGGUCAGGAAGAACAAGGAUUUGGGCUAGAUCGUUGGUGUUUUGAAGCGGUGUGGGCACAGCUAUGGACUACCAAUUAGAUAGGUAUGUGUGAGCAGGGUGGGGUAUCCUAAAACAGAGCCUACCGAGCAUGGGUGGGAAACUUCCAGCCCUUGGCAGAGUUUCAUCUGGCCUCUGGGGUAAUAUAUUGCUCUGGCUGCUGUUAUUACAGCCCAAAGAAUAAUUUCCCCUCUGGGGGAAUUUAUUCUAUUCCAUUCAGAGCAGAGCCCAUUUAAUAACUAAGAUUUUAUUCCAGAAUGAAUUUUAUUGGGUACCCCUAUGUAUUUAACUUCACGAGGACCCAGCUCAAUGAAGAAAAGAAGUAUUUGAACAUCUAAAUAUAAUUUGAGUUGCAUUUUUACACCAAGAGGCACUGGCAAACAUUUUGCUGCCAUACCUCGUGUCGAUCCUAGGAGAGUAAAUUUGGGGGGCAUCACGCGGAAAUUCAAAAGCACGGCUGAUUUUUAUAGAGCCUUCAUAGAAUAACUUCUAAAACCUUCCAAAGUGACUUUGGGCAUUUUUGAAUAUGUUAAUUCACACUAUUUCCAUCUAUCUUGAGAUUUCAUAGGUUGUCAAGAUGAUGUGACAUCAUUCGUCAAUUCGCUAAAUUAAGCUUUUUCUGUAUAGAAGACACUCUGCUAGAUGCCGGGGAAUAAAGGAGUGACAAAAUCAACUGCCUGAUCUCACGGAGCCUCUGUUCUAGUGGGUGGAGAGGGAGAUUUCAAGGAAUGAAGAUGCAGUCUGUGCGAUAGUCAGUGCUGUGGAGAAAAAUAAGGUUCUUCCGGACAGGCUGGGAGGGCGUUACGGAGAAGGGACAGCUUUGGGCAGACACCUGAAAGAGGGGAGGGAACGAGCUGUAGAAGUAUCUGGGAGUAGAGUUGACCAGGCAUCUUGGAAUGACCCAGAAUCUUCCCUCCUCCAAGUCGGGGAAGGGCAGCCUGGGAUGAGUAGUUAUGCAGAAGGGCUCCCGACUGCAUCGCAAAUAUGUGGCUUGGGCUGAGGUGUAACACAUUUAUGGAGCUGUUGUUUGUUUUUGGUUUUGUUUUUAACAAAACCACGCCCAUCUGGUUUUCUUUUUUAAACGAGUAAACGGUGCCAGAACAUGUUACUACGAUUCAGGGUUGUAGGUGCGAGUUCAUGACAGGCAGUGGCUCAUUUGAGGUAGACAGGGCAGGUCAUAUUAUUCCCAUUUUCCCAAUGAGGAAACAGGUAUGGGGAUGAUUUGGCCAAGGUUGUGUAACUAAGGAGCGGGGACUCCCUCGUCGUGAGGCGAGCGUUCCUUGGUUUGGAGGACAAACUGGAUCCGCUAAGGCUGUAGCUAGAAAAUACCUGUUCUCUUCCUUCCAGCAUGUUCACACCCAUUUUUUUAGAUGCCCCUGCCUUGUGGCUGGAGGACCUCUUGGGCAGUUUUCUAGUUGGGUGCAGGUUAAUGAGCAGUGUCAUUUUCAAGUAUCAAAAAGCCCAGAAAAGUUGUGUGUAUGUGUCAGAGGGGAUGGCUUCAUUGGUCGAGUGGCCGUUCUUUUAGAAGCUUUAGCUCUGGUUUUCCUUCAGUAGUUUUUGGUAUGAAUCUACGACGUGAGUAACUUCACCACCUAGACCUGCACCACCAGCUCCCCGUGUGCCUGCUGCACAGCACAGAUCCGUGUACCUGUGCGUUGGCUAGUGCAGAAAUAGAACAUUUCCAUCAUUGUAGAAAAUUCCGUUGGACAGCCCUGGCCUAGAUCCUCAAGCAUGUCGUAAACCAACUCUUUGAUUCUUUUCGCGACUGAUCUCAUACCCUAUUUUUCUGGAUAGACACCCUGCUUGAAAAGAUUUUGUAUAUAGAUAUGCUACGUUAUAAAGGAAGUCUAGUCAGCUUGAAGAAUUUCAGUCUCUCAGUGAUUGGUAGUAUCUUUCCUCCCGCAGAGUCUCUCCUCUCCUCGGACUGGGAGGGGCCUCAGACACCUGUAGCAGGAAGAGGGGGAGUGGCUGGUUUCUUCACACCACACGCCCAGUUCUCUUCCCAGCCCCUCCCUCUGCCAUUGUUAGCGGCUCCUGGGUGGAGCCAGGGAGACGUAGGGGGCAAAGGUUUUCCAUGGGCGUGGUGCCCUUGGUGAUCUGGUGUCGCUGCCCUCAGGUCGGAUCUCAGGGCUGGUCCUUUGGAGGACUUCGUCCUCACUUGGGGGUCGCCUGCUGCACAUCCCCUUAUGACCCUCCUCCUAGCUCCUGUACUCCACAGGUACCCGCCACACAUCAUCGCCUAACCCGGCAAGCAGCCUUCGAUGAGGUCCUUUCUAGGCAACCUAAGCCCAGCCUUCCACCGUGCCUGUAUACAGUUGAUGGGGAAAAGCCCGCAUCUUCUGGCCCUGCUUGCUGUAGAAAUACGGGCUGUUCCCCUUCCAGCCCACUCUGUCCACUCUGCCCUCCUAGACACCCCAGCUAGGUUUUGGGGGAGAAUCUGGCACCAGUCCUUAUAACCUGAACUUGGGGUCUCAGGUAAAGCUCUCUAAAUGGUAGUCCUCCUUGUUUGGCUUGGGAGAGAGCCCCAGGUUUUUCUCUCCUACAGGAGGAGAGUAGGGGGCUGUGCUCAGCACUUCUGUGUAAAUAUUCGAAGAAAUCCACGCAGGGCAAACUUGUCUCAGUCUUCAGUUGCUCCCUGUACAGGUGGAGGUGGUGAGGGGCUACAACGGGGAACAGGGGCGGGGCAGAGGGGACACUUCCUUUUCUGGUCCCGAAUAGACGAUGCAGCCCCUCUUUUUUGAAAUGUGUGCGUACAUAUGUAAUAAAUGCUCUUGGCCCUCAGCUCUGGGGCCUUGGCUGCAACUCUGAGACAACAAUGACAAGGAUGUAUCUGACACCUCGUUCCGUAUCCCUUCGCCCGGCUUCCCGUCCCAUUGCUGUCUCUGGCCGGUCUGUCCACAGGCAUUCUGGGUGGUCUGCUAGGGUCUGGCUGAUUUCAUACAAAGAGGGGCUUAGGGUAGAACUGAAGAUACUUAGAGACGGUGGGGAGCUUUCUCUUCUCUAACUCCACCAGCCCUAAUCUCCACGUCCCGAGUGGUUCUUGAUGUCCGCAUCAGUGACUCCACACGGUGAGUUUCGCUCGGACUGGGGGCAGUGUUUCACAUCUCACAGUUGUGUUGGAAGCCUCAAAAAGGUUGAGAACCACUGGGUCACUUAACUGUCCUCGGGGUUAAAGCUUAAAAAAGGAUUCAGAAGACAGCUAAGUAGGACAAGGGGCCUUUUUACAGGGAUGUUCAAAGCAAGGCCAUGGCUGAUUCCAAGUCAAGGGACUUUGGGGAUUUAAAUGAACUGACAGUGCUUGUGUCUCCUGUGAUUAACUCGCUGUGUGGGCGCUUUCACCUCUGUCGUCUUCCGUGAUCCGUACAGAAGGUGAGAAUGUGGGGAGUCAGCGACAUCGGCUUGCCCGGAAUCCCCCAGAUGGGGAUGGUGGGGCUGGGAUUCCAGCCUCAAUGUGUUUGAAUCCAAAGCGUCAUCUCUCCUAGCACACCAUACUGUCUCAGGGCCAGCUGGCUCCUGUUCAUACCUUCCCUUUAUUUGAUGACAAGUCCUAAUCGGGGCUGGUGACAGUCAGGCUUAACGCAGCUAAUCCCGCCCAUGGAGAACAUAUGUGACACGAAAGGGCCAAGGACGAGCAGAGGAAAGGCUCCCAGGGAAGCAGGGCGUGGUGGAGAGGAGCUUCCCUGGCCAGGCUCAGAGCCCCAGCCUGACCUCACCAGCUCCAGUAGGACCACGCACGCACUAGCACUUUCUCUGUGUCCGUCGCCCCAUCUUCCACAGGAGGAGACUGAGGCUCAGGAGGUUACAUACCCUGACCCAGAAACCCUGCUGGUAAGUGGUAGAGGGUUUGAUCCCAGAUCUGCCCCGUGCCUUGGCCGAGCCCACAGCCCCGUGCUGCCUCCCCUCCCACGAGGCUGCUGGCCCUGUGCACCUUCACUGGGUCACGUCCCCGGGGCCCGGCUUGGACUGUUCUCUCCCUUCCAGCGAUGGGGCAGAGCUGCUGCCUUCGGCUGGACGCUGCUUCCUGGAACAUGCUCACAGCCCUGCCUGUUGCUGUUCUUCCUUCUCAGUGUCCUGGGUUCCCUCCUGCUGCUUGGAUUCCAGCUCGUCUGCCCACAGCCCUCCACUGAACACAGA